This 65-nucleotide transfer RNA is filed under the name Dipodomys ordii (Ord's kangaroo rat). It matches the Rfam family "tRNA". From Rfam's summary of the family: Transfer RNA (tRNA) molecules are approximately 80 nucleotides in length. Their secondary structure includes four short double-helical elements and three loops (D, anti-codon, and T loops). Lineage: Eukaryota; Metazoa; Chordata; Mammalia; Rodentia; Heteromyidae. The record is from Rfam by way of RNAcentral.
GGUGGCUCAGUGCUAGAGUGCUUGCCUUGCACGCAGGAGGCCCUGGGUUCGAUUCCUCAGCACCA